Molecule: transfer RNA, 397 nt
Filed under: uncultured bacterium
Lineage: Bacteria
Description: 16S-23S intergenic spacer
Rfam family: tRNA (bases 152-225)
Source: RNAcentral
UCUAGAGAUAGAAAAUAGAGACUUAGGUCUCACAACACGAACUUUUGACACUUUCUUAAUCUUUGGAUUAAGUAUUUCGCUACUUUUAAUGGUUUUCUUAUAUAUAAUACAAUCAAUCAUAGGACAAGACUCUUAUAUAUUGUCAGUUUGAGGGGAAUUAGCUCAGCUGGCUAGAGCACCUGCCUUGCACGCAGGGGGUCAACGGUUCGAAUCCGUUAUUCUCCACUACAAGAGGAUAAUCAUAUGAUUGUACGUAUACACCACUAAUCAGCACGCAGAAAUAACUGUUGAUUAACCAACUUAACUUUUAGAGGUGACUCUAAUAAGGUUAAGGAUAGAUCUUUGACAUAAAGGACAUACAAGAAGAGAAAACGAGAGAAAGAGAAUUAGAGCGUAC